GUAUUUGUAGUAUUUUAAUUAUAAGAUAUAACUGCUUAUUAAAUAAAUCUACACAAAAUCUUCUAUUUUCUGUUAUAUAAAUAAAAUGUAUAGCGUAGUCUAGAUAGAAUAGAAUCCUGUGUCUACGUCCCAAAUAAAUUCUCCUAAGCUUAAACUAAGACUUCUUGCAAAGCUUUCUGGAUAUGUAUAUUUAUUACGAUUAUCAGACAUUAACAGCGUAGUAGAAUUAUUUUAAAACCUUAUGUUUG
Molecule: long non-coding RNA, 248 nt
Filed under: Nicotiana benthamiana
Lineage: Eukaryota; Viridiplantae; Streptophyta; Magnoliopsida; Solanales; Solanaceae
Description: long non-coding RNA (NBEN_LNC025414)
Source: RNAcentral